This 505-nucleotide ribosomal RNA is filed under the name uncultured bacterium. RNAcentral's name for it is "bacterial SSU rRNA". It matches the Rfam family "Bacterial small subunit ribosomal RNA", at positions 8 to 525 of the family's 1533-position model. The record is from RNAcentral.
AGAGUUUGAUCCUGGCUCAGGACGAACGCUGGCGGCGUGCUUAACACAUGCAAGUCGAACGAUGAAGCCCAGCUUGCUGGGUGGAAGAGUGGCGAACGGGUGAGUAACACGUGAGCAACCUGCCCUUCACUCUGGGAUAAGCACUGGAAGCGGUGUCUAAUACUGGAUAUGCACAAUGGCCGCAUGGUCUGUUGUGGGAAAGAUUUAUCGGUGAAGGAUGGGCUCGCGGCCUAUCAGCUUGUUGGUGAGGUAGUGGCUCACCAAGGCGACGACGGGUAGCCGGCCUGAGAGGGUGACCGGCCACACUGGGACUGAGACACGGCCCAGACUCCUACGGGAGGCAGCAGUGGGGAAUAUUGCACAAUGGGCGCAAGCCUGAUGCAGCAACGCCGCGUGAGGGAUGACGGCCUUCGGGUUGUAAACCUCUUUUAGUAGGGAAGAAGCGAAAGUGACGGUACCUGCAGAAAAAGCACCGGCUAACUACGUGCCAGCAGCCGCGGUAAUA